Small nucleolar RNA from Zingiber officinale, 110 nucleotides. NCBI's taxonomy places the organism in Eukaryota, Viridiplantae, Streptophyta, Magnoliopsida, Zingiberales, Zingiberaceae. The record is from RefSeq and is a predicted model, not a curated record.
AGGCCAUGAUGGGGGCACUAUCUUUGCAUGCUCUUGAACCGGUCCCAGGCUUCAAAUAGGGAUUUUGAGUCUAUCUGCUUAAAACUGGUAAUCAGGUUCCUCAUGUGGGU